UUUAUCAAAAACAUCGCCUCUUGCAAAACUUACGAAUAAGAGGUCACGCCUGCCCGGUGACUUUUAUGUUUAACGGCCGCGGUAUUUUGACCGUGCAAAGGUAGCGCAAUCACUUGUCUUUUAAAUGGAGACCUGUAUGAAUGGCAUCACGAGGGCUUAACUGUCUCCUUUCUCUAGCCAAUGAAAUUGAUCUCCCCGUGCAGAAGCGGGGAUAAGCACAUAAGACGAGAAGACCCUAUGGAGCUUUAGACACCAAGACAGUUUACGUUAAGCAUCCCUGCACAAAAGACCAAACUAAAUGAGUCCUGUCCUAAUGUCUUUGGUUGGGGCGACCUUGGGGAAAUAAACAACCCCCAUGUGGAACGGAAGCAUGUUUCCAGAACUAAGAGCUCCCGCUCUAAGAACCAGAAUUUCUGACCGAUCAGAUCCGGCAAGACCGAUCAACGGACCGAGUUACCCUAGGGAUAACAGCGCAAUCCCCUUUUAGAGUCCAUAUCGACAAGGGGUUUACGACCUCGAUGUUGGAUCAGGACAUCCUAAUGGUGCAGCCGCUAUUAAGGGUUCGUUUGUUCAACGAUUAAAGUCCUACGUGAUCUGAGUUCA
This 603-nucleotide ribosomal RNA is filed under the name Anampses caeruleopunctatus (bluespotted wrasse). Its description in RNAcentral is "partial 16S ribosomal RNA". It matches the Rfam family "Bacterial large subunit ribosomal RNA", at positions 1803 to 2613 of the family's 2925-position model. Lineage: Eukaryota; Metazoa; Chordata; Actinopteri; Labriformes; Labridae. The record is from RNAcentral.